RNA transcript from Phragmites australis (common reed), 3463 nucleotides. It is a transcript of the gene named phosphomethylpyrimidine synthase, chloroplastic, with no coding region annotated. The record is from RefSeq and is a predicted model, not a curated record. NCBI's taxonomy places the organism in Eukaryota, Viridiplantae, Streptophyta, Magnoliopsida, Poales, Poaceae. The transcript is spliced from 7 exons.
GUCCUUUCCCUUCUUUCCAGCGAGGUGUGGCCACCCGUCCCCUAUCCCCUCGCGCACGCGCGGCCCCUACAAAAAGCCCCGCGAUCCCACGCUUCCCUAUCGCACGUCGCUCCUCUCCCGCCAAUCCCCGCCUCUAGUCGGACCCGCCGUUCCUCCGAGAAAAUGGCUGCACUGCAACCCUCAUUUCCAUCGACGAUGACUAUGAAGAGUAGCUGCAACGGUCUGAAGUUCCCAAAAACUGCACUUUUACCUGGUUUUGGUGGCAUUUCACGUCCUCAAGAUGCGCAGGACAGGAAUGGUAGCCUUGCUUCUUUAAUCCCCAAGGUUGCUUCAGUGACUGACCAAUCAAUAGCAGAGCCAGCAAAACCCAGGCAAAAGAAGCAUACAGUCGACCCUACAGCUCCAGAAUUUCUGCCACUCCCAUCAUUUGAAGAAUGCUUUCCAAGGAGUACCAAAGAAUCCAGUGAAAUCGUUCACGAGGAAUCCGGUCAUGUCCUCAAGGUUCCAUUCCGGAGAAUCCAUUUGACUGGAGAUCAGAAGCAUUUUGAUACAUACGACACCAGUGGUCCUCAAAACAUAAGCCCAAGGAUUGGACUCCCAAAGAUAAGGAAGGAAUGGAUUGACAGGAGGGAAAAGAUAGGUAGUCCUCGUUACACACAAAUGUAUUAUGCUAAGCAUGGAAUCAUAACAGAGGAGAUGUUGUACUGUGCCAAGCGUGAGAACCUCAGUCCUGAAUUUGUUCGGUCAGAAGUGGCCCGUGGACGAGCCAUAAUUCCUUCCAACAAGAAGCACCUGGAAUUGGAACCCAUGAUUGUUGGAAGAAACUUCCUCGUAAAGGUGAAUGCAAAUAUUGGGAACUCAGCUGUUGUGAGCUCCAUCGAGGAGGAAGUUCACAAGCUCCAGUGGGCAACAAUGUGGGGAGCUGAUACUGUCAUGGACCUUUCAACAGGGAACCAUAUCCAUGAGACCCGAGAGUGGAUUAUCCGUAACUCUUCAGUUCCUAUUGGGACUGUUCCUAUUUACCAAGCACUUGAGAAAGUAAAUGGUAUUGCUGAAAAUCUGAGCUGGGAAAUCUUUAGGGAUACCUUGAUUGAACAAGCUGAGCAGGGUGUUGAUUACUUCACAAUCCAUGCUGGUGUCCUGCUUCGUUACAUUCCUCUUACAGCAAAGAGAAUGACUGGCAUAGUUUCACGUGGUGGCUCAAUACAUGCAAAAUGGUGCUUAACUUAUCACAAGGAGAACUUUGCUUAUGAGCACUGGGAUGAAAUUCUUGAUAUAUGCAAUCAGUAUGAUGUGGCACUAUCUAUUGGUGAUGGUUUGAGACCUGGUUCUAUUUAUGAUGCAAAUGAUAGUGCUCAGUUUGCAGAGCUGCUGACUCAAGGUGAACUAACACGUCGAGCAUGGGAGAAAGAUGUGCAGGUAAUGAAUGAAGGUCCAGGGCACAUCCCAAUGCAUAAAAUUCCUGAAAACAUGGAGAAACAGCUGGAGUGGUGUAAUGAAGCGCCUUUCUAUACAUUGGGUCCACUGACAACUGACAUCGCACCUGGUUAUGAUCACAUCACCUCAGCCAUUGGUGCUGCCAACAUUGGAGCUCUUGGCACCGCACUUCUUUGUUAUGUAACACCAAAGGAGCACCUUGGGUUGCCUAACCGUGAUGAUGUUAAAACAGGCGUGAUAUCCUACAAAAUUGCUGCUCAUGCUGCUGAUUUGGCAAAGGGUCAUCCCUAUGCACAAGCUUGGGACGAUGCACUCAGCAAGGCAAGGUUUGAGUUUAGAUGGCUGGACCAGUUUGCUUUAUCUCUGGAUCCAGUAACUGCUAUGGCUUUCCAUGAUGAAACAUUACCAUCUGAGGGUGCCAAAGUAGCACAUUUCUGCUCAAUGUGUGGGCCCAAGUUUUGUUCGAUGAAAAUCACAGAGGAUAUUAGAAAGUAUGCUGAUGAACAUGGUUACGGAACAGUGGAGGAAGCUGUGAGAGAAGGAAUGAAUGCUAUGAGUGCUGAAUUUUCGGCUGCAAGGAAAACAAUUAGUGGGGAACAACAUGGUGAAGCAGGAGGGGAGAUCUACGUACCAGAAAACUAUGCAGCUCACAAAUAAGAUCACCUUGGAGCCAUCCAUUCCAAGUGAUGCAGAUUUGCUGGCUAGCGCAUUCUUCAGCAGCAAUUCCACCAUCUUAUGUGAGGUGGGGUGCCUGUGUUCUCAACGAUCUGAAGGCACCUUGGCCUGGAUUGUUGUGAGAUGGGCUGAGAAAGUCCCUUUGAACCUGAACAGGAUAAUGCCUGCGAAGGGAGUGUGCAAUUCUAUUUUCAUGUUUUCCAGGAACAUGUCAACCUUUUGGUGGAAAUUGAGCUACCAACUGUCCGUGAAUGUGCAGAGCUCAGCAACUAGGUCUGCCUGUUCCCUACAUCUGAGGUAACAUGGUAGCAUUCCAUGAUCUUCUUACAUGAUUUCACCAACCAGCUGUGUGCUAGCAUUUUUCCAAGAGAAGAGGAAUUUUUAUAGGUACAGUUUCACCAUGACACUUGACAAAUUUAGUCAUUCCUAUGGCUCAUUUAGUUAAAUCAAUAUGUUCAUGAAAUUUCGCAAAGCAUUUGCUAAUCCUAUUAUAUAUAAUCUAUGUCUAUCGACAUAUAUUUACAGUAGAAAGUAUAUAACAAGAUAUCUAAAACUGCUACAGAUUAGGUCUUUUCGCUGCAUCCUGCUCGUCAAUUGAGGGUUAGUACCAACCAGAUUCCAUUUGACCUGAUCAUGCCAUCAUGUGGAAGUAAUCUAUUAAGAAAUAACUAGGAGAGUUGUUACUUUCAACUAGUUUUGGUCCUUCCCAUUGGGAUGGUCAGAUAUUGUCGUUCAAAAUACCAUAAAACUCUAGCUUUGCAAAAAAAUUUUGUAAAAUUCUACUAUGUGGACAGUUUUGAAGUUCAGCAUUAUGCGUAGUUGUUUACAUAGUAUAUUUUCUGAAAGCAGAGGCUGGAUCUACAAACGCCAGUAAAUUCAAAAAUAGAAAUAGAUUGCAGGUUAUUGCAUUGGUGGAUAAUAAUAGCAGUUUUACCUUCUGCGAAUGCAUGUUUCUAAUGUAUUGCUGUUCGCUCCACUUUUCGGGUAUAAACUAUACCAUUGCCAUAUUCCAAUAAUCCAAUUGCCAUGACUGACGCAAGAUGUCAAGGGAAAAUAAUGUCAGUGAAGGGAAACAGUUUUGAAAGUUGCUGUGGCUGGAGUUUUACGCUUUCUGUGGUACCAAUGAACAUACUCAUUUACAGCUUGGAAAAAAAUGUCGGUGCUCCUAUGGUGUGGUCUCAAAUUCCUAGAGAUGAGCUAGGCACACCCGAUAAGGGUUUCCGGCUUCCCUAGCAAAUUCAGAUGUUAACUAUUUAUAAACUUCCUUUCUAAUUUAUUUCGAUCUCUGUCUGGCUUUCUCCUUGAUUAUAAAUUUCGAUGUGGAAUAAAGCCAUCCUGCUUCACUGAUCUA